Molecule: ribosomal RNA, 1434 nt
Filed under: uncultured Bordetella sp.
Lineage: Bacteria; Pseudomonadati; Pseudomonadota; Betaproteobacteria; Burkholderiales; Alcaligenaceae
Description: partial 16S-23S ribosomal RNA intergenic spacer
Rfam family: Bacterial small subunit ribosomal RNA
Source: RNAcentral
GGUUCGAUUAUGGCUCCAGAUUGAACGCUGGCGGGAUGCUUGCUACACAUACCAAGUCGAACGGCAGCACGGACUUCGGUCUGGUGAGUGGCGAACGUUGGUAAUGUAUCGGAACGUGCCUAGUAGCGGGGGAUAACUACGCGAAAGCGUAGCUAAUACCGCAUACGCCCUUCGAGGGAAAGCGGGAUGCUUCGGGCCUCACUAUUGGAAACGGCCGAUAUCGGAUUGGCUAGUUGGUGGGGUAACGGCUCACCAAGGCGACGAUCCGUAGCUGGUUUGAGGACGAUAAGCCACACUGGGACUGAGGCGUGGAGACUCCUGGAGGCAGCAGUGGGGAAUUUUGGACAAUAGAGAGCCUGAUCAGCCGUCACGUGUGCGGUGAAGGCCUUCCGGGUUGUAAAACACUUUUGGCAGGAAGAAACGGCACAGGGUCAUGCGUCCUGGCUGACUGUCACCUGCAGAAUAAGCACCGGCUAACUACGUGCCGUAUGCGGUAAUACGUAAGUGCAAGCGUUAAUCGGAAUUACCUGGGCGUAAAGCAUGCGCGAGCGGUUCGGAAGAAAAGUCUUUGAUCGGGCCUUUGGAACUGCUUUUAACUACCGAGCUAGAGUGUGUCAGAGGGAGUGGAAUUCCACCGUGCUUGUGAUGGUAAGCUAGAUAUGCGGAGGAACACCGAUAAUGACAGCCUCUGGAUAACACUGACGCUCGUACACAGCAUUAAAGACCAAACAGGAUUAGAUGCCCUGGUAGUCCGCGCCCUAGAGCAUUAUCCAACUAGGCUAUUGGGGCCUUCGGGCCAUGGUAGCCCGCAAUAACGCGUGAAGUUGACCGCCUGGAGAAUACACGGGGUGCCAGAUUAAAACUCAAAAAUUGACGGGGACCCGUAAAGCGGUGGAUGAUGUGGAUUAAUUCGAUGCAACGCGAAAACCUUACCCUUGACAUGUCUGGAAUCCCGAAGAGAUUUGGGGUGCUCGCAAGAGAACCGGAACACAGGUGCUGCAUGGCUGUCGUCAGCUCGUCUUCGUGAGAUGUUGGGUUAAGUCCCGCAACGAGCGCAACCAUGUCAUUGGCGUGCUACAAGAAAGGGCCUCUGUUGGGCUGGUGUCGACCGGAGGAAGGUGGGGAUGACGUCAAGUCCUCAUGGCCCUUAUGGGUAGGGCUUCACACGUCAUACAAUGGUCAGGACAGAGGUCGCCAACCCGCGAGGAGCCAAUCCCAGAAACCCGAUCGUAGUCCGGAUCAUGAUGCAACUCGAACGCGGUCAGAAUCGCUGACAAAAUCGCGGAUCAGCAUGUCGCGGUGAAUACGUUGUUGCCCGGGUCUUGUACCGCCCGUCACUGUGGGAACUGGGUUUUGCCAGAAGUAGUUAGCCUAACCGUAAGGAGGCGAUUACCACGGUAGGAUUCAUGACGGGGUGAAGUCGUAACAAGGUAG